GAACAAGAAAAAGAUAUUUUCCAACUGAGAUAAAUAUCUAUUACCUACUUUAUACUUGAAAUUUAUAAGUCCAAAGUCAUCAAAAAAAUUAAGGAAUACAUUCAUCUAAGUUAAUUACUAUGGCGACAUAACUUCAGCAGCCUGCAGUAUUUCUUCAGUAUAAUAGUACUAUCCAUUUUCUUCAGAAUAAUAGUAUAAUCCAUUAGCUUAGAAUUUCACAAGAAUCUCACUUACCAGCGACUUUUUUACUUGUCAAAGACUUUAGUAAUUAUUCAAUUUAAAAUAAUAUUAGAUUCAUACACUUAAUUUUGCAUUUAGAACUACCCUAAGG
This 331-nucleotide unclassified non-coding RNA is filed under the name Hevea brasiliensis (rubber tree). Lineage: Eukaryota; Viridiplantae; Streptophyta; Magnoliopsida; Malpighiales; Euphorbiaceae. The record is from RNAcentral.